RNAcentral lists this ribosomal RNA (510 nucleotides) under uncultured bacterium. Its description in RNAcentral is "bacterial SSU rRNA". It matches the Rfam family "Bacterial small subunit ribosomal RNA", at positions 146 to 690 of the family's 1533-position model. The record is from RNAcentral.
ACCCUUGGAAACGAGGGCUAAUACCCGAUACGCUGUGGAGUGAAAGAAUUUCGCUGAGGGAUGAUCUUGCGUCUGAUUAGCUAGUUGGUGUGGUAAUGGCACACCAAGGCGACGAUCAGUAGCUGGUCUGAGAGGAUGAACAGCCACAUUGGAACUGAGACACGGUCCAAACUCCUACGGGAGGCAGCAGUGGGGAAUUUUCCGCAAUGGACGAAAGUCUGACGGAGCGACGCUGCGUGAAGGAUGACGGCCUGCGGGUUGUAAACUUCUUUUCUCGAAGAAGAAGCUCUGACGGUAUUCGAGGAAUAAGCAUCGGCUAACUCCGUGCCAGCAGCCGCGGUAAGACGGAGGAUGCAAGUGUUAUUCGGAAUGAUUGGGCGUAAAGAGUCUGUAGGCUGUAUGGAAAGUCUUUUGUUAAAUGCCUCGGCUCAACCGAGAUCCAGCAAAGGAAACUUCUAUACUUGAGGAAAGUAGAGGUACAGGGAAUUCCCGGUGGAGCGGUGAAAUGCG